CCCAGUAAACGGCGGCCGUAACUAUAACGGUCCUAAGGUAGCGAAAUUCCUUGUCGGGUAAGUUCCGACCCGCACGAAAGGCGUAACGAUUUGGGCACUGUCUCAACGAGAGACUCGGUGAAAUCAUAGUACCUGUGAAGAUGCAGGUUACCCGCGACAGGACGGAAAGACCCCGUGGAGCUUUACUGUAGCCUGAUAUUGAAAUUCGGCACAGCUUGUACAGGAUAGGUAGGAGCCUUUGAAACGUGAGCGCUAGCUUACGUGGAGGCGUUGGUGGGAUACUACCCUAGCUGUGUUGGCUUUCUAACCCGCACCACUUAUCGUGGUGGGAGACAGUGUCAGGCGGGCAGUUUGACUGGGGCGGUCGCCUCCUAAAAGGUAACGGAGGCGCUCAAAGGUUCCCUCAGAAUGGUUGGAAAUCAUUCAUAGAGUGUAAAGGCAUAAGGGAGCUUGACUGCGAGACCUACAAGUCGAGCAGGGUCGAAAGACGGACUUAGUGAUCCGGUGGUUCCGCAUGGAAGGGCCAUCGCUCAACGGAUAAAAGCUACCCUGGGGAUAACAGGCUUAUCUCCCCCAAGAGUCCACAUCGACGGGGAGGUUUGGCACCUCGAUGUCGGCUCGUCGCAUCCUGGGGCUGUAGUCGGUCCCAAGGGUUGGGCUGUUCGCCCAUUAAAGCGGUACGCGAGCUGGGUUCAGAACGUCGUGAGACAGUUCGGUCCCUAUCCGUCGUGGGCGUAGGAAAUUUGAGAGGAGCUGUCCUUAGUACGAGAGGACCGGGAUGGACAUACCUCUGGUGUACCAGUUGUCGUGCCAACGGCAUAGCUGGGUAGCUAUGUAUGGACGGGAUAAGUGCUGAAAGCAUCUAAGCAUGAAGCCCCCCUCAAGAUGAGAUUUCCCAACUUCGGUUAUAAGAUCCCUCGAAGAUGACGAGGUUAAUAGGUUCGAGGUGGAAGCGUGGUGACACGUGGAGCUGACGAAUACUAAUCGAUCGAAGACUUAAUCAA
This 1004-nucleotide ribosomal RNA is filed under the name human gut metagenome. RNAcentral's name for it is "bacterial LSU rRNA". It matches the Rfam family "Bacterial large subunit ribosomal RNA", at positions 1919 to 2925 of the family's 2925-position model. The record is from RNAcentral.